GAUGAACGCUGGCGGCGUGCUUAACACAUGCAAGUCGAGCGAGAAACUACAUGCAGACACUUCGGUAGAAGCGAGUAGCGGAAAGCGGCGGACGGGUGAGUAACGCGUAGGCAACCUGCCCUUCACAGAGGUAUAGCCUCGGGAAACCGGGAUUAAAACCGCAUAAAAUCAUAGGUUCGCAUGAACCAAAGGUCAAAGAUUUAUCGGUGAAGGAUGGGCCUGCGUCUGAUUAGCUGGUUGGUAGGGUAAAAGCCUACCAAGGCGACGAUCAGUAGCCGACCUGAGAGGGUGAUCGGCCACAUUGGAACUGAGACACGGUCCAAACUCCUACGGGAGGCAGCAGUGGGGGAUAUUGCACAAUGGGGGAAACCCUGAUGCAGCAACGCCGCGUGAGGUAUGAAGGCCUUUGGGUUGUAAGCCUCUGUCCUAGGGGAAG
Molecule: ribosomal RNA, 436 nt
Filed under: [Eubacterium] saphenum
Lineage: Bacteria; Bacillati; Bacillota; Clostridia; Peptostreptococcales; Anaerovoracaceae
Description: bacterial SSU rRNA
Rfam family: Bacterial small subunit ribosomal RNA
Source: RNAcentral